Molecule: ribosomal RNA, 461 nt
Filed under: uncultured bacterium
Lineage: Bacteria
Description: partial 16S ribosomal RNA
Rfam family: Bacterial small subunit ribosomal RNA
Source: RNAcentral
GAUGAACGCUGACAGAAUGCUUAACACACGCAAGUCAUUGGCGAAGCUGCGCUUGCGCAGUCUAGCCAAGGCGGACGGGUGAGUAACGCGUAAGGAACUUGCCCUGCAGACAGGGAUAACAGACGGAAACGACUGAUAACACCUGGUAUUGUCAGGCUGGCGCAUGCCGGCCUGAUGAAAGGAGACGCUGCAGGAGAGCCUUGCGUCCUAUUAGCUAGUUAGUGGGGUAACGGCCCACCAAGGCGAUGAUAGGUAGCCGGCCUGAGAGGGUGAACGGCCACAAGGGGACUGAGAUACGGCCCUUACUCCUACGGGAGGCAGCAGUGGGGAAUAUUGGACAAUGGGGGCAACCCUGAUCCAGCAAUUCUGUGUGCACGAAGAAGGUUUUCGGAUGGUAAAGUGCUUUCAGCAGGGAAGAAGAAAGUGACGGUACCUGCAGAAGAAGCGACGGCUAAAUACGU